This 75-nucleotide transfer RNA is filed under the name Caudoviricetes sp. RNAcentral describes it as "tRNA-Met". It matches the Rfam family "tRNA". From Rfam's summary of the family: Transfer RNA (tRNA) molecules are approximately 80 nucleotides in length. Their secondary structure includes four short double-helical elements and three loops (D, anti-codon, and T loops). Further hydrogen bonds mediate the characteristic L-shaped molecular structure. tRNAs have two regions of fundamental functional importance: the anti-codon, which is responsible for specific mRNA codon recognition, and the 3' end, to which the tRNAs corresponding amino acid is attached (by aminoacyl-tRNA synthetases). tRNAs cope with the degeneracy of the genetic code in two manners: having more than one tRNA (with a specific anti-codon) for a particular amino acid; and 'wobble' base-pairing, i.e. permitting non-standard base-pairing at the 3rd anti-codon position. Lineage: Duplodnaviria; Heunggongvirae; Uroviricota; Caudoviricetes. The record is from RNAcentral.
GGACAUUUAGCUCAGUAGGAUAGAGCAAACCGGCUCAUAACCGGUCGUUCCUGGGUUCAAGUCCCAGGAUGUCCA